This 253-nucleotide ribosomal RNA is filed under the name uncultured bacterium. RNAcentral describes it as "partial 16S ribosomal RNA". It matches the Rfam family "Bacterial small subunit ribosomal RNA", at positions 524 to 776 of the family's 1533-position model. The record is from RNAcentral.
UACGUAGGGGGCAAGCGUUGUCCGGAUUUAUUGGGCGUAAAGAGCGUGUAGGCGGCCAUACAGGUCCGUUGUGAAAACUCGAGGCUCAACCUCGAGACGUCGGUUGAAACCAUCUGGCUAGAGUCCGGAAGAGGAGAGUGGAAUUCCCGGUGUAGCGGUGAAAUGCGCAGAUAUCGGGAAGAACACCCGUGGCGAAGGCGGCUCUCUGGGACGGUACUGACGCUGAGACGCGAAAGCGUGGGGAGCGAACAGG